GACGAACGCUGGCGGCGUGCUUAACACAUGCAAGUCGAGCGGUAAGGCCCUUUCGGGGGUACACGAGCGGCGAACGGGUGAGUAACACGUGGGUGACCUGCCCUCAGCUCUGGGAUAAGCCUGGGAAACCGGGUCUAAUACUGGAUAUGACUCCAUGACGCAUGUUGUGGGGUGGAAAGCCUUGUGCGGCUGAGGAUGGGCCCGCGGCCUAUCAGCUUGUUGGUGGGGUGANGGCCUACCAAGGCGACGACGGGUAGCCGGCCUGAGGGGGCGACCGGCCACACUGGGGACUGAGACACGGCCCAGACUCCUACGGGAGGCAGCAGUGGGGAAUCUUGCGCAAUGGGCGAAAGCCUGACGCAGCGACGCCGCGUGAGGGAUGACGGCCUGGUGU
This 394-nucleotide ribosomal RNA is filed under the name uncultured bacterium. RNAcentral's name for it is "bacterial SSU rRNA". It matches the Rfam family "Bacterial small subunit ribosomal RNA", at positions 28 to 422 of the family's 1533-position model. The record is from RNAcentral.